AUUGAACGCUGGCGGCAUGCCUUACACAUGCAAGUCGAACGGUAAUAGGUCUUCGGAUGCUGACGAGUGGCGAACGGGUGAGUAAUACAUCGGAACGUGCCUAGUAGUGGGGGAUAACUACUCGAAAGAGUGGCUAAUACCGCAUGAGAUCUACGGAUGAAAGCAGGGGAUCGCAAGACCUUGUGCUACUAGAGCGGCCGAUGGCAGAUUAGGUAGUUGGUGGGAUAAAAGCUUACCAAGCCGACUAUCUGUAGCUGGUCUGAGAGGACGAUCAGCCACACUGGGACUGAGACACGGCCCAGACUCCUACGGGAGGCAGCAGUGGGGAAUUUUGGACAAUGGGCGCAAGCCUGAUCCAGCAAUGCCGCGUGCAGGAUGAAGGCCUUCGGGUUGUAAACUGCUUUUGUACGGAACGAAAAGCCCCGGGUUAAUACCCUGGGGUCAUGACGGUACCGUAAGAAUAAGCACCGGCUAACUACGUGCCAGCAGCCGCCGUAA
RNAcentral lists this ribosomal RNA (498 nucleotides) under uncultured bacterium. RNAcentral describes it as "partial 16S ribosomal RNA". It matches the Rfam family "Bacterial small subunit ribosomal RNA", at positions 30 to 523 of the family's 1533-position model. The record is from RNAcentral.